GAAUGCUGACAUAAGUAACGAUAAAGCGGGUGAAAAGCCCGCUCGCCGGAAGACCAAGGGUUCCUGUCCAACGUUAAUCGGGGCAGGGUGAGUCGACCCCUAAGGCGAGGCCGAAAGGCGUAGUCGAUGGGAAACGGGUUAAUAUUCCCGUACUUGGUGUUACUGCGAAGGGGGGACGGAGAAGGCUAUGUUGGCCGGGCGACGGUUGUCCCGGUUUAAGCGUGUAGGUGUGUGUUCCAGGUAAAUCCGGUUCACUUUAACACUGAGGCGUGACGACGAGGCACUACGGUGCUGAAGCAACAAAUGCCCUGCUUCCAGGAAAAGCCUCUAAGCAUCAGGUAACAUCAAAUCGUACCCCAAACCGACACAGGUGGUCAGGUAGAGAAUACCAAGGCGCUUGAGAGAACUCGGGUGAAGGAACUAGGCAAAAUGGUGCCGUAACUUCGGGAGAAGGCACGCUGACACGUAGGUGAAGUGAUUUACUCAUGGAGCUGAAGUCAGUCGAAGAUACCAGCUGGCUGCAACUGUUUAUUAAAAACACAGCACUGUGCAAACACGAAAGUGGACGUAUACGGUGUGACGCCUGCCCGGUGCCGGAAGGUUAAUUGAUGGGGUCAGCGCAAGCGAAGCUCCUGAUCGAAGCCCCGGUAAACGGCGGCCGUAACUAUAACGGUCCUAAGGUAGCGAAAUUCCUUGUCGGGUAAGUUCCGACCUGCACGAAUGGCGUAAUGAUGGCCAGGCUGUCUCCACCCGAGACUCAGUGAAAUUGAACUCGCUGUGAAGAUGCAGUGUACCCGCGGCAAGACGGAAAGACCCCGUGAACCUUUACUAUAGCUUGACACUGAACAUUGAGCCUUGAUGUGUAGGAUAGGUGGGAGGCUUUGAAGUGUGGACGCCAGUCUGCAUGGAGCCGACCUUGAAAUACCACCCUUUAAUGUUUGAUGUUCUAACGUGGACCCGUUACCCGGGUUGCGGACAGUGUCUGGUGGGUAGUUUGACUGGGGCGGUCUCCUCCUAAAGAGUAACGGAGGAGCACGAAGGUUGGCUAAUCCUGGUCGGACAUCAGGAGGUUAGUGCAAUGGCAUAAGCCAGCUUGACUGCGAGCGUGACG
RNAcentral lists this ribosomal RNA (1111 nucleotides) under Salmonella enterica subsp. enterica serovar Enteritidis. RNAcentral's name for it is "partial 23S ribosomal RNA". It matches the Rfam family "Bacterial large subunit ribosomal RNA", at positions 1292 to 2386 of the family's 2925-position model. Lineage: Bacteria; Pseudomonadati; Pseudomonadota; Gammaproteobacteria; Enterobacterales; Enterobacteriaceae. The record is from RNAcentral.